UUGGGUGUGAGUGUGGCCACUGCUGCCACUGAAGUUGAUCCAAGAGCUGGCUAUGGCCCUGCGCUGGGGUCGCAGGGUUCCAGGCUGUGCAGUCCCCAGAAGAGCCACUGUCAAAGCCAUCAAGCCCAGAGACUCUCUGGGCAGGCACAGGUGUGAACUUCAGCCAACAGGACCAGAACCUACAGGACCCACCUCCUGAGGGCCACCUCCGGGAAGACAUUGGCAGCUUGAAUACUUCUGCCUGUUUCUGCCGCUUUCAUUGAGGGAGUCAGUACUGUGGAUCUCUGUGGGCUCCUGGGACAUCCCAGGGAGCACUCCUGCUAGGUGUUCUCAAGUCCACCUAAAAGUGGAAAAGGAUAAUCCAGGGAAGCUAUAGGCUCCAGGACCAGGUCAUUUGUUGCCAGUCCAGUCCCUGGAGAUGGAGGGGCAGGCUGAGUCCAGUCCUUUCUAGACUGGCACUGGUAUCAAACUCAGAGUGCUUUACAGCCGAAGAGAGUUCUGCGGCCUCUGGGUUGAGAAACUCUGAAGCUGACUCUUAUUGUUGGAGAGCUCUUACUGGGGAGAUACUCUGAACUGGGGUUCUCAUUUCUACUUCUCUGCUGGAAAUGAACAAGGCCACUGAGACUAGGUGGGGGCCUAGCAGAGCAUGGCCCUGACCUCUGGCUGGAUUGCCCAGACAAGGCUACCCCACACUGACAGCUAGCUGGUAAGGCCUUGACCUCACUCAGCCAAGUCCUGCCCUGCCUGGGACCCAGACAUUUGUGGGCAGCUUGGCUGUUCUUUGCUUCAGUGCACAUCACACUGUUGUUUCCAAAGUAAAGUUACAAAAUUCCAAAGUAAACUUUUCAUUAAUUCAAA
Apodemus sylvaticus (European woodmouse) is the source of this 858-nucleotide long non-coding RNA. RefSeq lists it as uncharacterized. The record is from RefSeq and is a predicted model, not a curated record. NCBI's taxonomy places the organism in Eukaryota, Metazoa, Chordata, Mammalia, Rodentia, Muridae. The transcript is spliced from 2 exons.